This 1146-nucleotide ribosomal RNA is filed under the name Escherichia coli. RNAcentral's name for it is "partial 23S ribosomal RNA". It matches the Rfam family "Bacterial large subunit ribosomal RNA", at positions 1783 to 2925 of the family's 2925-position model. Lineage: Bacteria; Pseudomonadati; Pseudomonadota; Gammaproteobacteria; Enterobacterales; Enterobacteriaceae. The record is from RNAcentral.
UUUAGCUGGCUGCAACUGUUUAUUAAAAACACAGCACUGUGCAAACACGAAAGUGGACGUAUACGGUGUGACGCCUGCCCGGUGCCGGAAGGUUAAUUGAUGGGGUUAGCGCAAGCGAAGCUCUUGAUCGAAGCCCCGGUAAACGGCGGCCGUAACUAUAACGGUCCUAAGGUAGCGAAAUUCCUUGUCGGGUAAGUUCCGACCUGCACGAAUGGCGUAAUGAUGGCCAGGCUGUCUCCACCCGAGACUCAGUGAAAUUGAACUCGCUGUGAAGAUGCAGUGUACCCGCGGCAAGACGGAAAGACCCCGUGAACCUUUACUAUAGCUUGACACUGAACAUUGAGCCUUGAUGUGUAGGAUAGGUGGGAGGCUUAGAAGUGUGGACGCCAGUCUGCAUGGAGCCGACCUUGAAAUACCACCCUUUAAUGUUUGAUGUUCUAACGUUGACCCGUAAUCCGGGUUGCGGACAGUGUCUGGUGGGUAGUUUGACUGGGGCGGUCUCCUCCUAAAGAGUAACGGAGGAGCACGAAGGUUGGCUAAUCCUGGUCGGACAUCAGGAGGUUAGUGCAAUGGCAUAAGCCAGCUUGACUGCGAGCGUGACGGCGCGAGCAGGUGCGAAAGCAGGUCAUAGUGAUCCGGUGGUUCUGAAUGGAAGGGCCAUCGCUCAACGGAUAAAAGGUACUCCGGGGAUAACAGGCUGAUACCGCCCAAGAGUUCAUAUCGACGGCGGUGUUUGGCACCUCGAUGUCGGCUCAUCACAUCCUGGGGCUGAAGUAGGUCCCAAGGGUAUGGCUGUUCGCCAUUUAAAGUGGUACGCGAGCUGGGUUUAGAACGUCGUGAGACAGUUCGGUCCCUAUCUGCCGUGGGCGCUGGAGAACUGAGGGGGGCUGCUCCUAGUACGAGAGGACCGGAGUGGACGCAUCACUGGUGUUCGGGUUGUCAUGCCAAUGGCACUGCCCGGUAGCUAAAUGCGGAAGAGAUAAGUGCUGAAAGCAUCUAAGCACGAAACUUGCCCCGAGAUGAGUUCUCCCUGACUCCUUGAGAGUCCUGAAGGAACGUUGAAGACGACGACGUUGAUAGGCCGGGUGUGUAAGCGCAGCGAUGCGUUGAGCUAACCGGUACUAAUGAACCGUGAGGCUUAACCUU